GCGAAUCUCUGCUCUAAAAAUUAGAUCUAGAUCUGAUCUGGAAGAUCUUUAAAAGAUCUUCUGAAGCUGGAGCAGUAGCUUUUCGAUAAAUUCCUACAGCCUUCUGAUCAGAGAGCCACCAUGCCUUGGACAAGCACCAGAUGGAUGCCCAACCUCUUGGACAUGAAGAGAGAAGAGAGAGGAGCAAAGAAGACAUAGAGAAGUGAAGGGGUUUCAUAUUUUUGCUGGGUAUUGAGCAGAUUCUCUCAACCCUAGG
RNAcentral lists this long non-coding RNA (256 nucleotides) under Elaeis guineensis (African oil palm). RNAcentral's name for it is "long non-coding RNA (EGUI_LNC042979)". The record is from RNAcentral. Lineage: Eukaryota; Viridiplantae; Streptophyta; Magnoliopsida; Arecales; Arecaceae.